UACGUAGGGUGCAAGCGUUGUCCGGAAUUAUUGGGCGUAAAGAGCUCGUAGGCGGUUUGUCGCGUCUGCUGUGAAAACCCGAGGCUCAACCUCGGGCCUGCAGUGGGUACGGGCAGACUAGAGUGCGGUAGGGGAGAUUGGAAUUCCUGGUGUAGCGGCGGAAUGCGCAGAUAUCAGGAGGAACACCAAUGGCGAAGGCAGAUCUCUGGGCCGUAACUGACGCUGAGGAGCGAAAGCAUGGGGAGCGAACAGG
Molecule: ribosomal RNA, 253 nt
Filed under: uncultured bacterium
Lineage: Bacteria
Description: partial 16S ribosomal RNA
Rfam family: Bacterial small subunit ribosomal RNA
Source: RNAcentral